Long non-coding RNA from Podarcis muralis (Common wall lizard), 2604 nucleotides. RefSeq lists it as uncharacterized. NCBI's taxonomy places the organism in Eukaryota, Metazoa, Chordata, Lepidosauria, Squamata, Lacertidae. The record is from RefSeq and is a predicted model, not a curated record.
CCGGUGAAGGAGCCCGGCGACGACGUGCCCGAUCCCGGGGAAGGGGUGCCGGACGAGCCCAGGAUGGAGCCGGCUCCUUCCGGGGCUGGGCGGCUGCCGGCCCGGGAUUCCUCAAAUCCAAGGGAUCGGCGUUCCCCAGUCUAAGCAGACAGCGCCAGUUUCCCUGCACAACUAAAAAGGAACAAUCGCAUCCAAGGUAGAUUUUUAGCAAAAGGAGAGAGAGGGAGAGAAGCGGAGGACUGGCUGGGUGUUGCUGGAGAGGCAGCGUUUUCUCCCUCCCCGUUGCUACUUGGUGGUGGUGUGUGGCAACUUGUUUCCUUCGCCAAGGUUCGCCACGGAGUUAAAAGAAAUCCUCCAAAAACCUCAGGAUCCUGGCUCGGGGAGGAGCCUCCGCGAGGCUUGCAGCCAAUAUCUUUCUCCCCAUUUUGGCCAAGCAGUUUCUUGCAAAGAGGAAAAGCUCAGCGCUCCUGGAGCUGCUGCCGCCGCUGCUGCUGCAGAAGCGACACUGCCAACAGCCACCUCUGAAAGCUGCAAAAACGCUGCCGGGGCUUAACUACAGGCGGCCGGCUGUUGACUGACUGUGGAGGGUCCAUUUUCGUUGCAGUAUUUCUUGACUGACAUUUGUGAUUUUUCUCUCUCUCUCUCAAAUCCCUCCCUCCUAAGAGAAAGGGGAGGAAUGGGCUUGCCUGCACCAUAGUAGCUGGUUGCUCAUGGUUGGCAUUCAAAGGCACUAGUCAGUUUGGGUUUUGCAAGUGGUUUGGAUGGGUGCUGGGGAGAAGGAGUAGGAAGCCAUGCCUGACACCCCACCCACCCUACCUUCCUCCAUACAGGACCUCAUGCCUAUAUGCAUAGACAAAAGGAUCUCUGGAUACCAAGUGGUUAGGAAUAGCAAACAUAAGAUCUCAACACCAGGGUUUUGUUUUUGUAUUUUAAACACUUCUGUUUCAGGAAGGAAUGUGCGCACAGGUUAUCCCAAAGUGCAAAAGACAACCAUAAUAUUUCUGCAAGGUUUAUCCCCAAACAGCUGGCGGGACAUAGAUCAGCUGCUAAACUUAGGACAAGAUCCAUUCGUUUGAAGAUGCGCAGAGGGGCUUGUUUCAAGCUCCUCAUCCAUGACACCUGCCAUGGGUGUAGCUAGAAUAUAUUGGGGGGACGCAAGAACCUAGUUAUCUGCAAUGCAAUUGGUCAGUUAGUUAAGUAUUUUUAUUGAUUUUAGGGGGAGAGCUGCACACACCCACACUCCAGCUACGCUCAUGACACCUGUAUCCCAAAUCUGCAUUGCCUACCAGGAGAUUUUAAAAUGCUAGAAAUCAAUAUAUUUUGCAAAAUCAUUGUGUUGGUGGGGAAGAAUCGGUGGCUCUGCAGCACCCAGCAUUUCUGCCUUCUCAACCCUAGGUAGCCUUUGUUAGACCUGGACUGAAACCCACACCCCAGCGAGGUGAAUGGUAAACAUUCUGCACAACGGGGAGAGAGUGAGAUGUUGUGGGUGGGUGCACAUGCAUGCAUACAAUUAUAUUUAUAUACCUGUGUGUGGUUUCCUGCAGCAACACAGAGGCUGGGAUUCUCAAGAAACUGAAGUCCUGUCCCACACCAAAUCUGUAUGCCAUACUAAUAGCCCUGGCUAUAAUGGGAUCUUGGCUUCCAGCCCAACCCCUCUCAUGUCAGUGCUAUGUAAUGCAUGGUGCAUUUAUUUCCUCUACAUAAUCAAAGCCUUCGGGCCUGUCUGCACAUUGCAGUUACCACAUGGAAACAAUUUAAAAUCACUCCAUCUGGCACCUGUUAUCAUAUUAAUACUUAGCGUUUAUACCACUUUAGUGUUCCAAACACUUCAUACUCAUUAGCUUAGCAAUUGUUGCAGCAACCCUUUAGGACAGGCCAGGAUUAUUAUCCCGCCUUGAGAAUGGGGGGUUGAAGGUGAGAGAGAGUGGCUGGCUACCCAGUAAGUUUCCCAGCAGAGAUUAACUCUGAACUGAUAAGUUCCUGAUUCACAGCUCCGUCUCUUAGCCACUGGGCCAUUUUGGUGGUUAGUCAUUUGUGUGGAAUGCUCCAUCACAUGGGCCGGUUUUCUCCAUGCUAGUUAAAAAAGAACUUUUCUUUUUUGUGCUUUUGAACCGGCGCCGAAAUGAUCCUUGCUGCUACACAGUGAGCCAGUUCACACACAUAUGGCUCCCCACAGGGUGGCAGAUACCACAUUGAGCUUUCUGCAGAGACUUCAGCGUGAUGUACAAAACGGUCCCCGGUGUUAAUUCCAACAUAUGUAACGUUUUGGUUGCCUGAUCCCAAAGAGAAUAUCCUAGAGCUGGGCAAAAUAUGCAAAAGGGACAACUGCACGAUGAAGAGGUUGGAGCAGCUUCCUUACAAAGAGAGGCUUUUACAAAGAGACAGCGUAGUGUAAUGGUUAGAGUGUCAAGACGAAAACUUGGGGACCAGGGUUCAAAUCCCUACUCAGCCAGGAAGCUCCUUGAGUGACCUUGAGCCAGUCACUGCCUCUCAAACUAACCUACCUCACAAGGUUGUUGUGGGGAUUUAAUUACAGAAGGUGGGAACUAUGUAUGCUAGAAAAGGUGGGAAAUAAAUGCAAUAAAAUAAAAUAAAAUAAUGGUU